This 253-nucleotide ribosomal RNA is filed under the name uncultured bacterium. RNAcentral describes it as "partial 16S ribosomal RNA". It matches the Rfam family "Archaeal small subunit ribosomal RNA", at positions 474 to 727 of the family's 1478-position model. The record is from RNAcentral.
UACCAGCACCCCGAGUGGUCGGGACGAUUAUUGGGCCUAAAGCAUCCGUAGCCGGUUCUACAAGUCUUCCGUUAAAUCCACCUGCUUAACAGAUGGGCUGCGGAGGAUACUAUGGAGCUAGGAGGCGGGAGAGGCAAGCGGUACUUAGUGGGUAGGGGUAAAAUCCGUUGAUCCAUUGAAGACCACCAGUGGCGAAGGCGGCUCGCCAGAACGCACUCGACGGUGAGGGAUGAAAGCUGGGGGAGCAAACCGG